GACGAACGCUGGCGGCGUGCCUAACACAUGCAAGUCGAACGGAAAGGCGCUUCUUGCAGGGUACUCGAGUGGCGAACGGGAGAGUAACACGUGGGUGAUCUGCCCUGCACUUCGGGAUAAGCCUGGGGAACUGGGUCUAAUACUGGCUAGGAGCCACUGAUAGUAUGAUGGCUGGAAAGCUUUCUCGGUGUAGGAUGAGGUUGCGGGCUAAUAGCUUGUUUGUGUGGUAAUGGCAUCCCAAGGCGGCGACGGGUAGCGGGCCUGAGAGGGUGGACGGCCACACUGGGACUGAGAGGAGGCCCAGAGUGCGAAGGUAGGAAGAAGGGGGGAAUAUUGCACAAUGGGCGCCAGCCUGAUGCAGCAAGGCCGCGUGGUGGAAGACGGCCUUCGGGUUGAAAACUACUUUCGCUAGGAACGAAGCAUUUUGUGACGGUACCUAGAUAAAAAGCCACGGCUAACUACGUG
Molecule: ribosomal RNA, 465 nt
Filed under: uncultured bacterium
Lineage: Bacteria
Description: partial 16S ribosomal RNA
Rfam family: Bacterial small subunit ribosomal RNA
Source: RNAcentral